UACGGGGGGAGCAAGCGUUGUUCGGAUUUACUGGGCGUAAAGGGCGCGUAGGCGGUCAGCACAGGUUAGUUGUGAAAUCUCCGGGCUUAACUCGGAAAGGUCAACUGAUACUGUGCGACUAGAGUGCAGAAGGGGCAACUGGAAUUCUCGGUGUAGCGGUGAAAUGCGUAGAUAUCGAGAGGAACACCUGCGGCGAAGGCGGGUUGCUGGGCUGACACUGACGCUGAUGCGCGAAAGCCAGGGGAGCGAACGGG
This 254-nucleotide ribosomal RNA is filed under the name uncultured bacterium. Its description in RNAcentral is "partial 16S ribosomal RNA". It matches the Rfam family "Bacterial small subunit ribosomal RNA", at positions 524 to 776 of the family's 1533-position model. The record is from RNAcentral.